This 303-nucleotide ribosomal RNA is filed under the name uncultured bacterium. Its description in RNAcentral is "partial 16S ribosomal RNA". It matches the Rfam family "Bacterial small subunit ribosomal RNA", at positions 507 to 807 of the family's 1533-position model. The record is from RNAcentral.
AGCAGCAGCCACGGUAAUACGUAGGGGGCAAGCGUUAUCCGGAAUUACUGGGUGUAAAGGGAGCGUAGACGGUUAAACAAGUCUGAAGUGAAAUGCCGGGGCUCAACCCCGGAGCUGCUUUGGGAGCUGUAGAACUGGAGUGUCGGAGGGGUAAGCGGAAUUCCCAGUGUAGCGGUGAAAUGCGUAGAUAUUGGGAGGAACACCGGCGGCGAAGGCGGCUUACUGGACGACAACUGACGUUGAGGCUCGAAGGCGUGGGUAGCAAACAGGAUUAGAUACCCCAGUAGUCCCUGUCUCUUAUAC